UACGUAGGGUCCAAGCGUUAAUCGGAAUUACUGGGCGUAAAGCGUGCGCAGGUGGUUUGUUAAGAGUGAUGUGAAAUCCCCGGGCUCAACCUGGGAACUGCAUUGCUAACUGGCGAACUCGAGUACGGGAGAGGGGGGUGGAAUUCCACGUGUAGCAGUGAAAUGCGUAGAGAUGUGGAGGAACACCGAUGGCGAAGGCAGCCCCCUGGCCUGCUACUGACACUCAUGCACGAAAGCGUGGGGAGCAAACAGG
Molecule: ribosomal RNA, 253 nt
Filed under: uncultured bacterium
Lineage: Bacteria
Description: partial 16S ribosomal RNA
Rfam family: Bacterial small subunit ribosomal RNA
Source: RNAcentral